ACGUUACCCGCAGAAGAAGCACCGGCUAACUCCGUGCCAGCAGCCGCGGUAAUACGGAGGGUGCAAGCGUUAAUCGGAAUUACUGGGCGUAAAGCGCACGCAGGCGGUCUGUCAAGUCGGAUGUGAAAUCCCCGGGCUUAACCUGGGAACUGCAUUCGAAACUGGCAGGCUAGAGUCUUGUAGAGGGGGGUAGAAUUCCAGGUGUAGCGGUGAAAUGCGUAGAGAUCUGGAGGAAUACCGGUGGCGAAGGCGGCCCCCUGGACAAAGACUGACGCUC
This 277-nucleotide ribosomal RNA is filed under the name Klebsiella pneumoniae. Its description in RNAcentral is "partial 16S ribosomal RNA". It matches the Rfam family "Bacterial small subunit ribosomal RNA", at positions 472 to 748 of the family's 1533-position model. Lineage: Bacteria; Pseudomonadati; Pseudomonadota; Gammaproteobacteria; Enterobacterales; Enterobacteriaceae. The record is from RNAcentral.